Molecule: ribosomal RNA, 2924 nt
Filed under: Escherichia coli 3.2608
Lineage: Bacteria; Pseudomonadati; Pseudomonadota; Gammaproteobacteria; Enterobacterales; Enterobacteriaceae
Description: bacterial LSU rRNA
Rfam family: Bacterial large subunit ribosomal RNA
Source: RNAcentral
GAAACAUCUUCGGGUUGUGAGGUUAAGCGACUAAGCGUACACGGUGGAUGCCCUGGCAGUCAGAGGCGAUGAAGGACGUGCUAAUCUGCGAUAAGCGUCGGUAAGGUGAUAUGAACCGUUAUAACCGGCGAUUUCCGAAUGGGGAAACCCAGUGUGAUUCGUCACACUAUCAUUAACUGAAUCCAUAGGUUAAUGAGGCGAACCGGGGGAACUGAAACAUCUAAGUACCCCGAGGAAAAGAAAUCAACCGAGAUUCCCCCAGUAGCGGCGAGCGAACGGGGAGCAGCCCAGAGCCUGAAUCAGUGUGUGUGUUAGUGGAAGCGUCUGGAAAGGCGCGCGAUACAGGGUGACAGCCCCGUACACAAAAAUGCACAUACUGUGAGCUCGAUGAGUAGGGCGGGACACGUGGUAUCCUGUCUGAAUAUGGGGGGACCAUCCUCCAAGGCUAAAUACUCCUGACUGACCGAUAGUGAACCAGUACCGUGAGGGAAAGGCGAAAAGAACCCCGGCGAGGGGAGUGAAAAAGAACCUGAAACCGUGUACGUACAAGCAGUGGGAGCACGCUUAGGCGUGUGACUGCGUACCUUUUGUAUAAUGGGUCAGCGACUUAUAUUCUGUAGCAAGGUUAACCGAAUAGGGGAGCCGAAGGGAAACCGAGUCUUAACUGGGCGUUAAGUUGCAGGGUAUAGACCCGAAACCCGGUGAUCUAGCCAUGGGCAGGUUGAAGGUUGGGUAACACUAACUGGAGGACCGAACCGACUAAUGUUGAAAAAUUAGCGGAUGACUUGUGGCUGGGGGUGAAAGGCCAAUCAAACCGGGAGAUAGCUGGUUCUCCCCGAAAGCUAUUUAGGUAGCGCCUCGUGAAUUCAUCUCCGGGGGUAGAGCACUGUUUCGGCAAGGGGGUCAUCCCGACUUACCAACCCGAUGCAAACUGCGAAUACCGGAGAAUGUUAUCACGGGAGACACACGGCGGGUGCUAACGUCCGUCGUGAAGAGGGAAACAACCCAGACCGCCAGCUAAGGUCCCAAAGUCAUGGUUAAGUGGGAAACGAUGUGGGAAGGCCCAGACAGCCAGGAUGUUGGCUUAGAAGCAGCCAUCAUUUAAAGAAAGCGUAAUAGCUCACUGGUCGAGUCGGCCUGCGCGGAAGAUGUAACGGGGCUAAACCAUGCACCGAAGCUGCGGCAGCGACGCUGAUGCGUUGUUGGGUAGGGGAGCGUUCUGUAAGCCUGUGAAGGUGUGCUGUGAGGCAUGCUGGAGGUAUCAGAAGUGCGAAUGCUGACAUAAGUAACGAUAAAGCGGGUGAAAAGCCCGCUCGCCGGAAGACCAAGGGUUCCUGUCCAACGUUAAUCGGGGCAGGGUGAGUCGACCCCUAAGGCGAGGCCGAAAGGCGUAGUCGAUGGGAAACAGGUUAAUAUUCCUGUACUUGGUGUUACUGCGAAGGGGGGACGGAGAAGGCUAUGUUGGCCGGGCGACGGUUGUCCCGGUUUAAGCGUGUAGGCUGGUUUUCCAGGCAAAUCCGGAAAAUCAAGGCUGAGGCGUGAUGACGAGGCACUACGGUGCUGAAGCAACAAAUGCCCUGCUUCCAGGAAAAGCCUCUAAGCAUCAGGUAACAUCAAAUCGUACCCCAAACCGACACAGGUGGUCAGGUAGAGAAUACCAAGGCGCUUGAGAGAACUCGGGUGAAGGAACUAGGCAAAAUGGUGCCGUAACUUCGGGAGAAGGCACGCUGAUAUGUAGGUGAAGCGACUUGCUCGUGGAGCUGAAAUCAGUCGAAGAUACCAGCUGGCUGCAACUGUUUAUUAAAAACACAGCACUGUGCAAACACGAAAGUGGACGUAUACGGUGUGACGCCUGCCCGGUGCCGGAAGGUUAAUUGAUGGGGUCAGCGCAAGCGAAGCUCUUGAUCGAAGCCCCGGUAAACGGCGGCCGUAACUAUAACGGUCCUAAGGUAGCGAAAUUCCUUGUCGGGUAAGUUCCGACCUGCACGAAUGGCGUAAUGAUGGCCAGGCUGUCUCCACCCGAGACUCAGUGAAAUUGAACUCGCUGUGAAGAUGCAGUGUACCCGCGGCAAGACGGAAAGACCCCGUGAACCUUUACUAUAGCUUGAUACUGAACAUUGAGCCUUGAUGUGUAGGAUAGGUGGGAGGCUUUGAAGUGUGGACGCCAGUCUGCAUGGAGCCGACCUUGAAAUACCACCCUUUAAUGUUUGAUGUUCUAACGUUGACCCGUAAUCCGGGUUGCGGACAGUGUCUGGUGGGUAGUUUGACUGGGGCGGUCUCCUCCUAAAGAGUAACGGAGGAGCACGAAGGUUGGCUAAUCCUGGUCGGACAUCAGGAGGUUAGUGCAAUGGCAUAAGCCAGCUUGACUGCGAGCGUGACGGCGCGAGCAGGUGCGAAAGCAGGUCAUAGUGAUCCGGUGGUUCUGAAUGGAAGGGCCAUCGCUCAACGGAUAAAAGGUACUCCGGGGAUAACAGGCUGAUACCGCCCAAGAGUUCAUAUCGACGGCGGUGUUUGGCACCUCGAUGUCGGCUCAUCACAUCCUGGGGCUGAAGUAGGUCCCAAGGGUAUGGCUGUUCGCCAUUUAAAGUGGUACGCGAGCUGGGUUUAGAACGUCGUGAGACAGUUCGGUCCCUAUCUGCCGUGGGCGCUGGAGAACUGAGGGGGGCUGCUCCUAGUACGAGAGGACCGGAGUGGACGCAUCACUGGUGUUCGGGUUGUCAUGCCAAUGGCACUGCCCGGUAGCUAAAUGCGGAAGAGAUAAGUGCUGAAAGCAUCUAAGCACGAAACUUGCCCCGAGAUGAGUUCUCCCUGACUCCUUGAGAGUCCUGAAGGAACGUUGAAGACGACGACGUUGAUAGGCCGGGUGUGUAAGCGCAGCGAUGCGUUGAGCUAACCGGUACUAAUGAACCGUGAGGCUUAACCUU